AUGUGUAGAAAAGAAAAGUUCUCGGAAUGUCCUGAAAAUCCACGGAGACACUUUUUGGAAAAUAUAAAAAAUAUUGGUGAAAGAAUCAAGACCAGGGGGCCCACACCCUGUCCACGAGACAGGGGGGCGCGCCCCUCCCCCUGGGCGCGCUCCCCCUAUCUCGUGGGCCCCCUGGACCUCCACCGACCUCAACUCCAACUCCAUAUAUUCACGUUCGGGGAGAAAAAAAAUCAGAGAGAAAGUUUCAUCGCGUUUUACGACACGGAGCCGCCGCCAAGCCUUAAUCUCUCUCGGGAGGGCUGA
Molecule: ribosomal RNA, 303 nt
Filed under: Triticum aestivum (bread wheat)
Lineage: Eukaryota; Viridiplantae; Streptophyta; Magnoliopsida; Poales; Poaceae
Description: partial small subunit ribosomal RNA
Source: RNAcentral